AUGUCUAUUUCAUUGAUGGCAGGUGUGCUACCUAAAUAUUUCCACUCGGAGUGGUCUGUUGCUCAAUUCAGGCUCCAUGAGGGUGAGCAAUACAUCGUCGCAUUUGGCCAUGAGAAGAAUACCGUGGCAGUUGUUGGCAUGGACGGAAGCUUCUACCGGUGCCAGUUUGACCCAGUCAAUGGAGGAGAAAUGCAGCAGCUGGAAUGCCACAAUUUCCUAAAACCAUCAGAUCAACCGUAG
Molecule: ribosomal RNA, 240 nt
Filed under: Triticum aestivum (bread wheat)
Lineage: Eukaryota; Viridiplantae; Streptophyta; Magnoliopsida; Poales; Poaceae
Description: partial small subunit ribosomal RNA
Source: RNAcentral